GAUAAACGCUAGCGGCAGGCUAACACAUGCAAGUCGAGGGGCAGCAUAGAUUGUAGCAAUACAAUUGGUGGCGACCGGCGCACGGGUGCGUAACGCGUAUGCAACCUACCCAUCACAGGGGGAUAAUCCGGAGAAAUCUGGUCUAAUACCCCAUAACAUAUGGAUCGGCAUCGGUUCAUGUUGAAAUUUUCGGAGGUGACGGAUGGGCAUGCGUAGCAUUAGCUUGUUGGUGAGGUAACGGCUCACCAAGGCGACGAUGCUUAGGGGGACUGAGAGGUUUUCCCCCCACACUGGUACUGAGAUACGGACCAGACGCCUACGGGAGGCAGCAGUGAGGGGUAUUGGUCAAUGGGCGCAAGCCUGAACCAGCCAUGCCGCGUGCAGGAUGACGGCUCUAUGAGUUGUAAACUGCUUUUGUACGAGGGUAAAGUGGGUUACGUGUAACCUUUUGAAAGUAUCGUACGAAUAAGGAUCGGCUAACUCCGUGCCAGCCGCCGCAGUAA
Molecule: ribosomal RNA, 503 nt
Filed under: uncultured bacterium
Lineage: Bacteria
Description: partial 16S ribosomal RNA
Rfam family: Bacterial small subunit ribosomal RNA
Source: RNAcentral